Transfer RNA from Loxodonta africana (African savanna elephant), 71 nucleotides. It matches the Rfam family "tRNA". From Rfam's summary of the family: Transfer RNA (tRNA) molecules are approximately 80 nucleotides in length. Their secondary structure includes four short double-helical elements and three loops (D, anti-codon, and T loops). Further hydrogen bonds mediate the characteristic L-shaped molecular structure. tRNAs have two regions of fundamental functional importance: the anti-codon, which is responsible for specific mRNA codon recognition, and the 3' end, to which the tRNAs corresponding amino acid is attached (by aminoacyl-tRNA synthetases). tRNAs cope with the degeneracy of the genetic code in two manners: having more than one tRNA (with a specific anti-codon) for a particular amino acid; and 'wobble' base-pairing, i.e. permitting non-standard base-pairing at the 3rd anti-codon position. The record is from Rfam. NCBI's taxonomy places the organism in Eukaryota, Metazoa, Chordata, Mammalia, Proboscidea, Elephantidae.
ACAUUGGUAGUUCAGGGGUAGAAUUCUUGCCUUCCACGCAGGAGACCCAGGUUCGAUUCCUGGCCAGUACA